Molecule: unclassified non-coding RNA, 410 nt
Filed under: Hevea brasiliensis (rubber tree)
Lineage: Eukaryota; Viridiplantae; Streptophyta; Magnoliopsida; Malpighiales; Euphorbiaceae
Source: RNAcentral
AUCUAGUCUUGAUUAUGUCUGUGAACCCUGGCUUUGGUGGGCAAGGCUUUAUUGAGAGUCAAGUAAAGAAAAUCUCAGAUUUGAGAAGAAUAUGUGCAGAGAAGGGAGUAAAUCCAUGGAUUGAAGUAGAUGGCGGAGUUGGUCCCAAGAAUGCAUAUAAGGUUAUUGAGGCUGGAGCUAAUGCUAUAGUUGCGGGAUCAGCUGUAUUUGGAGCUAAAGAUUAUGCUGAAGCUAUAAGAGGAAUCAAAACCAGCAAAAGGCCAGUAGCUGUACCAGCAUGAUUUAUCACCAGAGAAUCUCAUUUUAUUAAAUGUUAUUCAAAAAGUAGAUAAGCAGCUUAUUUCUACCUUCAUGUUGCGGCCAGAUGUACCAUCACUCUUGGUUGAUUUCUCCCGGGUUACAGAUGAACU